GACGAACGCUGGCGGCGUGCUUAACACAUGCAAGUCGAACGGAAAGGCCCUGCUUGCAGGGUACUCGAGUGGCGAACGGGUGAGUAACACGUGGGUGAUCUGCCCUGCACUUCGGGAUAAGCCUGGGAAACUGGGUCUAAUACCGGAUAGGAGCCAUUUUUAGUGUGAUGGUUGGAAAGUUUUUUCGGUGUAGGAUGAGCUCGCGGCCUAUCAGCUUGUUGGUGGGGUAAUGGCCUACCAAGGCGGCGACGGGUAGCCGGCCUGAGAGGGUGGACGGCCACAGUGGGACUGGGACACGGCCCAGACUCAUACGGGAGGCAGCAGUGGGGAAUAUUGCACAAUGGGCGCAAGCCUGAUGCAGCGCCGCCGCGUGGGGGAUGACGGCCUUCGGGUUGUAAUCUCCUUUCGCUAGGGACGAAGCUUUUUGUGACGGUACCUAGAUAAGAAGCACCGGCUAACUACGUG
RNAcentral lists this ribosomal RNA (465 nucleotides) under uncultured bacterium. RNAcentral describes it as "partial 16S ribosomal RNA". It matches the Rfam family "Bacterial small subunit ribosomal RNA", at positions 28 to 507 of the family's 1533-position model. The record is from RNAcentral.